GUGGUUGUGGCGGAGCUGGUCUAACGCGUCAGAUUAAGGCUCUGAUCACUUCGGUGGCCUGGGUUCGAAUCCCAGCAACCACA
Capsaspora owczarzaki ATCC 30864 is the source of this 83-nucleotide transfer RNA. It matches the Rfam family "tRNA". From Rfam's summary of the family: Transfer RNA (tRNA) molecules are approximately 80 nucleotides in length. The record is from Rfam. Lineage: Eukaryota; Filasterea; Ministeriida; Capsasporidae.